UACGGGAGGCAGCAGUAGGGAAUAUUGGGCAAUGGGCGAGAGCCUGACCCAGCCAUGCCGCGUGCAGGAAGAAGGCUUUCUGAGUCGUAAACUGCUUUUGAUAGGGAAGAAUAACCAGUACGUGUACUGGGAUGACGGUACCUACAGAAUAAGCACCGGCUAACUCCGUGCCAGCAGCCGCGGUAAUACGGAGGGUGCGAGCGUUGUCCGGAUUUAUUGGGUUUAAAGGGUGCGUAGGCGGCCCGUUAAGUCCGGGGUGAAAGCCCGCUGCUCAACAGCGGAACUGCCCUGGAUACUGGCGGGCUUGAGUACAGACGAGGUUGGCGGAAUGGACCGAGUAGCGGUGAAAUGCAUAGAUACGGUCCAGAACCCGAUUGCGAAGGCAGCUGACUAGGCUGUUACUGACGCUGAGGCACGACAGCGUGGGGAGCGAAC
RNAcentral lists this ribosomal RNA (435 nucleotides) under uncultured bacterium. RNAcentral describes it as "bacterial SSU rRNA". It matches the Rfam family "Bacterial small subunit ribosomal RNA", at positions 340 to 773 of the family's 1533-position model. The record is from RNAcentral.